UACGAGGGGGGCGAGCGUUGUUCGGAAUUAUUGGGCGUAAAGCGCGCGCAGGCGGCCUUUUAAGUCUGAUGUGAAAUCUUGCGGCUCAACCGCAAGCGGCCAUUGGAAACUGGGAGGCUUGAGUACAGAAGAGGAGAGUGGAAUUCCACGUGUAGCGGUGAAAUGCGUAGAUAUGUGGAGGAACACCAGUGGCGAAGGCGACUCUCUGGUCUGUAACUGACGCUGAGGCGCGAAAGCGUGGGGAGCAAACAGG
This 253-nucleotide ribosomal RNA is filed under the name uncultured bacterium. RNAcentral describes it as "partial 16S ribosomal RNA". It matches the Rfam family "Bacterial small subunit ribosomal RNA", at positions 524 to 776 of the family's 1533-position model. The record is from RNAcentral.